UGACCAGAGCAGGCCUCUCUGCAGGACA
Molecule: non-coding RNA, 28 nt
Filed under: Homo sapiens (human)
Lineage: Eukaryota; Metazoa; Chordata; Mammalia; Primates; Hominidae
Source: RNAcentral